CCCCGCGGCCGGUGCGGAGGCAGCCGGAGCCCGCCGGCCGCCGCGCCCCCUCAGCCCGGGCCAGGCCGGGCGGUGCGGGGAGGCGCGCGCGGAGGAGGCCCAGGCGCCACCCAGCGGCGGUGGGUGGCACCGCGCCCCAACCGCCCCCCGCGCGCCCGCCGCCGCGAGGCUGGCGGCGCGUUAUAUGCACGUACCCGAUCGCUGUACAUCUACGCGUGCCAGAGAGAAGAAAUUGCAAUAACCCCACGCUUCAACAUCGACCAUACCAGGCAUUGCGUGAGCACGCCUUUCACCGAAAAAGCCACUUUGGGCACUCAGAGCCACUUCCUUCUGAGAGAAGACAUCAUUGUGACUGGGAAAAGCACCUGUAAACUGCUGCAGGAUUAAAGGCAACUCCAUUCCCAGGAAAACUUACAGGAGACUGCUCCACAAACCGGCGCAGGCAGCAAUCCUAAAUGACCUCACAGGCUACACCUUGUUACCUUUUCCCAUCUAUUAUCCUACACAGCAUCUAAACUAAUGAAUCACUCAGGAACGAUUCCUUUGCACUGUUUUUAAAAACAUCUCUUCCUUAUUGGCACAAGGAUGUCCCAUUAUUUCUUAUACAGACAUCUCCAGGGAAAAGUUAAUCUAAAUGUUUGUAUGUACUAGACUUUCAUGUGGGUUACCAUAAAUAUUGUGAAAAGAGCUGUAGCCUCCCCCUGCCACUUCCUGUUAGGAUAAUAAGGAGCUUUAAUUGCUACUGUAAGAGGAAAGGUAUUUUCUCUACCAUCUUCAUCCUGAAUAUAAAGCAGAUGACAGAUGUGUAAGGUAGUAGAAACUGGGUUGCCAAAUAGGACAUCUGGGGACAUCUCUGCUGUUUGCAGGGGACAGAGGACUCAAUCUCACUUAUACCAUAGCAGAAAUUAUGAUUCCUAUUGAUUUCAGCAGAAGCAGGAUUUGGCCCUAAAGAACCCUUACCACACACUUCACGAGAGAACAGAUACACAGCAAUGACCGAGCAUGAGGAAUUGCACUGGAUGAAGGAUAAGCAGACCAGUAUUUGCUCACUGUAUCAAAGCUCUCAGUGUCUGAGAAGACAAGGCUGAAAGGAUUGCAGAUAAAAACAGUGCCAAAAGCAUUAGAUAAAAACUACAGCAGGGCAGAUAAUUUGCAAAAACAGUUACUUAAAACAAACUUAUGUCUUUACGUUGUUUAUAUUCCUUACUUUAUCAGUGAGAAAAGGCUAGAGAUAUUAGAAAAUAGUGCCUGAAGAACCAGUUCUUUCCUAAUUUUUUUGCUUCAACUUCCCACCUUCCCACUGCUCUAUACAUUAUGCUGCACUGCUGAACUGUGUAUCUCUAUCAUUUCUAUAGCCAGUUAAUUUUCUAGAAAACUCUGGCUGUUAUCAUGCUCUAAAAUACAUAUACAAGAAUAUUUUCUUACUUAUAAUUCCUUUUAAUUUGAUAAAACUAAUUUAAAGACAUACUUUUAAGUUGUCAUCUUAUUUGAAAAAAAAAGGGUAAAAGAAGUACUACUGACAAUAGCAAAGACUAACACAGCUGAAGUAAUUUGAAAAAAUUACUAUCCGCCAUUUCAUAUAAACAUAUGAUAGCAGUAACAGCAACAUUCUGCUUUCCAAGGUGCCAGAAAAGCUCCUGUGGCAGGUUAACUCUACCAGGAAGAAAAAUAACGAUAUGCAGAGCCAAGAUACUCUUUCCUAGCACAUCAUACACACAAUAGAUCUAUUUUCUAAGGCAGUCUUUAUUCUUAGUAACGGGUAUAUUUUCACUCACAUUAAAGAAAUCUUUUGUUUAUUUUUCUUUCUUACUGUUUUCUGUUUGGCUAAUGUCAGUAAACCGAGUCAGCUUCAUUAUUACGUGUAAAACAUUAUGCAGAAGCAGGUGAAUCAGAGAAGAAAACUGACUGAGGUUUUGGGCACACUACAAGACAAUGUAAAAAGAUCUAACUGAAAAUGCACCUUUUUUUUUUUCUUUGGCUUUUGUAUUUGUAAAAUUAAUCAUUUCUGCAGUGAUUCUCUGAAAAAUUAAGGUCUCCUCUAUUUUGAUGAAUAAAGUAUGUUGGCAAUAAUACUUCAACCUAACCCGCUAGAUUGCUGCUAAACAACCACUCAUUUAAUUUUCUCUUCCCCCAAAAUACUGGUUUUCUAUCUAAGUCUUCAUAAUUUUCAUUAUUAUUACUGCUGCUGUAAUUUUUGUUAUUAUGUAUUGAUUUUAUAAUGCACAUUAACCCACUAACUUGCCUUCAGAAAACAUAUUUGUCUGAGUAUGUGACCAAUAAAACUAAAGAUGUGUACGGGCAAAGAGGAUGUGCCACCACAAGGAA
Long non-coding RNA from Tyto alba (common barn owl), 2325 nucleotides. RefSeq lists it as uncharacterized. Lineage: Eukaryota; Metazoa; Chordata; Aves; Strigiformes; Tytonidae. The record is from RefSeq and is a predicted model, not a curated record. The transcript has 2 exons.